CAGGAGGGGCUCGCCGCCGCGGGCGGAACCUGGGGGCCGCGGGUUCCCGGCGGUUUCCAGACCCGCUCCGCGGAGGCAGAGCAGCCGGGAGACCGGAACGAGCUGGGGGAAGCGUGAAGGCUGCAGUCGCGGUGGCGAGUUAGUUAGUGUUCGGCCUUCGCCUGCACGACCCUCCCUCCCUCACACCCAGGCAUUCGGCCUAGGCCUCUCAGCCCCGCGGACCGUCCGGGUCACCCGGGGGGCGGGGCGGGCGCUUCGUAGACACGGAUUACCACCACUCAGAGGCGCGGGCCCAGGCAAUGUCUGUCCAGGUCCCCGCCAGGCCACCUCUGAACGUGUCGCCGACGGCCCUGCCGGCAGUUCACGCAGGAGGCUCCCGGGGCGUGUGCUAGUUCAGCAAAGCGCUCAGCCAGGCUCCAAGCCCCGCCCACCGCCUCUCCGACCACCGGCAGGUCCCGAGAGAGGCCAAGUGGAGGGACUCCCACUUUUCCCGAGAAUUGGCCAGAACUUCGACGGCCCGAGAGGGCAAGCACGAGGUUUUUGAUCAGGAUUUCUUGAACCAUGCACGGAAUAGAGGCUCAAUAAAUGUUGAUUGAACGAA
Molecule: long non-coding RNA, 601 nt
Organism: Suricata suricatta (meerkat)
Lineage: Eukaryota; Metazoa; Chordata; Mammalia; Carnivora; Herpestidae
Exons: 2
Source: RefSeq, a predicted model, not a curated record